AGACACUGUCUCAGGAUAAUAUUAACCCCAACAAAUUAUGCAGUUAUUUCGUGACAUUUAUGUGACACUACACGCUGCAAGAUCCAAAAUAACGCGCCCUAACGACACACCCGAGCUAUCCGACUCGUACAAGAUGGGAGACGACAAUCACAUCGGUAUAUCGGAUUGCCAUCCUGCCUCCUGAGCUGGCAGCGUGGUACGCAAACUUCCGCGUUCAACAUCGUGCUCGACCAUCUACAGUGAAUGCCGGGUUAUCCGAAUCUCUUGGAGGUUGUAGCUGAGGGGCAACCUCCUUGUGAAGUUGAAUUUCCACCGCAAGAGAUGGGGACGAACGGAUAAUUUUCUAGGCACACAGUCAUCAUUGCGCCGUUCAACACUGAAUGCAUGGAUCGUCUAACCGUACCUCGAAUUUCCAGUUGCUAAAACUCAGCUUUCGAACGAGAGCCACUUGACAUCUACCAGAAGCAAAAAGUUCAUCAAAUCAUAUCAUCUUGAGAGACCCAUUUUCUGCUCUUAGAACCAACCCCACCAUCCUAGUUUUGGAUCAGGAGGAGUUAUAUCGGUUGGCGGAAUAAUUGUAUCUCUGCGGAGUAUUUCCCCGUAAAUGGGUUAUUAAUCUAAACCAAACAAGCCCAAACAUCGGUGCAUAGCCCCCGCAGCCAACUAUUCUCAAGCCCGGAAGCCAAUUGAUAAUUCUACUCUUCCAUAUGAACCUUUAUACACAUUCCCGAUCAAUCCUAGAACUAUCAGAUAGCCAGCCUAGCACAAAGGCGAGUGAAGGCGAUUACCUCAAUGCUGGUGCGGGGAGCUAGUCCGUAAUAGGAAGACCAAAACUCCCAUCUUUCCAGGCCAUGAAAUCUAGAGCCAACCAUGGUCUUUAUUUCUUGCUUUGAAAUUGACGGUCGACAGCUAUUAAUGUCUUCAAGGGACUGCUCUCUUCGUUGAUAUGACGAUAUCAGAAUGGUUGGUCCGCGCUAACCGGGACUCUGGACUGCCACCCAUUCCCCUUUAUGUGUGUCCUCAACCUCUGACAAACACCUUGUUUUCUUUGAUCUAUAUCCAUAUAUACCAGUUAUAUAUGUAAAUGAAAAAAUUUUUCCUAUAAAACCUACUCGCACACUGUCGAUCUAUACGUUCUACGCUUCCCUGAAGCUCUUCUUCCUAUUUGGUCCACCCUUUAACCCUCUUGUCCCACCCAACCCAAAACUAGCCCACUCUUUCCCUUGGUACCCCGAUUUCGAAGUCCCAUCUAUCUGUAUCGCAUGAAACGAACAAUAUAUUUAUUCCAUUUCGCUUUUACACAGGCUACAGCAGCAUAUACCCCGUAAGGUAUCAGUUAUCGAAUGAACAACGUAAGUUGUUGGCGUCCUCCCAUAUUCUCUAUCUCUUCCACGCAUUGGCUGUACUGCACGCCUCCCCCUCUUUUUAGCCUAAUGAGCAUUUGAGAAAGGUUGUACUUACCACCGCCGGAAACCGGGGGGGGGAUCAAAAACAAUAAAAAGAAAAGAAAAGAUAGGGGGCGAAACUCUUCCUUCCCCUCGUCCCGCUACCACGGCCUCGCCUCGUAUACAAAUAGGAAGGGUGUAAGUUGGGCAAGAUGUUACACCACUCCAAACAAAAACACAAAUAAAUAAAUAAAUGAAGCCCCUUUAUUCAAUAACAUCAGGAACAAGUUUUUGUUCCUGGGCCUGAUUUCAGGUAUAUAUAUUUACAUAUAUAUACAUAUACAUGUAUACAUGUACAGUGCAUGCACAAUCCGUAGCCACCUUUGCAUAUAACAUACUUUUUCAUUGAUCAAAGGGGUAAACAACCAAAACUCAAACCUUAAAAAGAAGCUUUGGAAGCUGGAACUUACGUGAUCAACCAACUCCAGUAACAAGUUGCAAAAAU
RNAcentral lists this small RNA (1890 nucleotides) under Histoplasma ohiense. RNAcentral's name for it is "hypothetical lncRNA". Lineage: Eukaryota; Fungi; Ascomycota; Eurotiomycetes; Onygenales; Ajellomycetaceae. The record is from RNAcentral.